AAGUCUGAUGUGAAGCCCCGGCUCACCGGGAGGGUCAUGAACUGAAGGCUUGAGUGCAGAGAGAAGAGCGGAUUCCACGUGUAGCGGUGAAUGCGUAGAGAUGUGGAGGACACCAGUGGCGAAGCGGCUCUUUGGUCUGUAACUGACGCUGAGGCGCGAAAGCGUGGGGAGCGAACAGGAUUAGAUACCCUGGUAGUCCACGCCGUAAACGAUGAGUGCUAAGUGUUGGGGGGUUUCCGCCCCUCAGUGCUGCAGCUAACGCAUUAAGCACUCCGCCUGGGGAGUACGGCCGCAAGGCUGAAACUCAAAGGAAUUGACGGGGGCCCGCACAAGCGGUGGAGCAUGUGGUUUAAUUCGAAGCAACGCGAAGAACCUUACCAGGUCUUGACAUCCCGCUGACCGGUCUGGAGACAGAUCUUCCCCUUCGGGGGCAGCGGUGACAGGUGGUGCAUGGUUGUCGUCAGCUCGUGUCGUGAGAUGUUGGGUUAAGUCCCGCAACGAGCGCAACCCUUGAUCUUAGUUGCCAGCAUUCAGUUGGGCACUCUAAGGUGACUGCCGGUGACAAACCGGAGGAAGGUGGGGAUGACGUCAAAUCAUCAUGCCCCUUAUGACCUGGGCUACACACGUGCUACAAUGGAUGGUACAAAGGGCUGCAAGACCGCGAGGUUUAGCCAAUCCCAGAAAGUGUAUCGUAGUCCGGAUUGUAGUCUGCAACUCGACUACAUGUAGUUGGAAUCGCUAGUAAUCGCGGAUCAGCAUGUCGCGGUGAAUACGUUCCCGGGUCUUGUACACACCGCCCGUCACACCAUGGGAGCGGGUUUCACCAGAAGUGGGUAGCCUAACCGCAAGGAGGGCGCUCACCACGGUGGGAUUCGUGACUGGGGUGAAGUCGUAACAAGGUAACCAAGGG
This 910-nucleotide ribosomal RNA is filed under the name uncultured bacterium. RNAcentral's name for it is "bacterial SSU rRNA". It matches the Rfam family "Bacterial small subunit ribosomal RNA", at positions 585 to 1506 of the family's 1533-position model. The record is from RNAcentral.